GAUGAACGCUGGCGGCGUGCUUAACACAUGCAAGUCGAACGAUGAACCGCUGCUUGCUCGGGGGAUUAGUGGCGAACGGGUGAGUAACACGUGAGUAACCUGCCCUUGACUCUGGGAUAAGCCUGGGAAACUGGGUCUAAUACCGGAUAUGACUCCUCAUCGCAUGGUGGGGGGUGGAAAGCUUUUGUGGUUUUGGAUGGACUCGCGGCCUAUCAGCUUGUUGGUGGGGUAAUGGCCUACCAAGGCGACGACGGGUAGCCGGCCUGAGAGGGUGACCGGCCACACUGGGACUGAGACACGGCCCAGACUCCUACGGGAGGCAGCAGUGGGGAAUAUUGCACAAUGGGCGAAAGCCUGAUGCAGCGACGCCGCGUGAGGGAUGACGGCCUUCGGGUUGUAAACCUCUUUCAGUAGGGAAGAAGCGUAAGUGACGGUACCUGCAGAAGAAGCGCCGGCUAACUACGUGCCAGCAGCCGCGGUAAUACGUAGGGCGCAAGCGUUAUCCGGAAUUAUUGGGCGUAAAGAGCUCGUAGGCGGUUUGUCGCGUCUGCUGUGAAAGACCGGGGCUCAACUCCGGUUCUGCAGUGGGUACGGGCAGACUAGAGUGCAGUAGGGGAGACUGGAAUUCCUGGUGUAGCGGUGAAAUGCGCAGAUAUCAGGAGGAACACCGAUGGCGAAGGCAGGUCUCUGGGCUGUAACUGACGCUGAGAGCGAAAGC
This 718-nucleotide ribosomal RNA is filed under the name Paenarthrobacter nicotinovorans. RNAcentral's name for it is "bacterial SSU rRNA". It matches the Rfam family "Bacterial small subunit ribosomal RNA", at positions 28 to 760 of the family's 1533-position model. The record is from RNAcentral. Lineage: Bacteria; Bacillati; Actinomycetota; Actinomycetes; Micrococcales; Micrococcaceae.